This is a long non-coding RNA of Gallus gallus (chicken), 1166 nucleotides long. Lineage: Eukaryota; Metazoa; Chordata; Aves; Galliformes; Phasianidae. The record is from Ensembl.
AGAAAUCAGUCCUACAGCACACACGUAGCAGCUGUGGCUGCACAGUUGGAGGAUGGCUGUUUGCAACCUGAAAUGAGACAUAGGCCAGCCUGGCAGGAAAGUUCAGGAGUGCCUGAGAUAAGGAUGUACUGUGGGCCCACAUCGAAGUCCUUGCAGAAGUCCAGGCAGAUGACAUCAGUUGCCUUCCCUUUGUCCAAUGAUGCCCUCACUCCAACACAGAAGGUCAUCAGGAGGAUCUGUGCUCCAUGAUUUUCCCAGGCAGAGAGACUUCUCUCAGCCUUCUGUUUCCAAACUAAGAUAUCCCUCGCUUCACAAUCACACCUUAUUCACAUCAUCACCCUCUGACAGUAAGUACCCAUUUUCAUGGAUGAAGCAGAGGAAGAAUAAAAUCUCAUCAAAAAUCUCUGACAGUCACCAUGAAAACUCGGUAAGAAUUGCAGCUGCUGCCAUCGAGCCAGCCUGAUGUGUUAGUUUCAUAAAAACACAGUCAUAUAUCCCACUGGUUUUAUGGUUUGUUAACCCCUUUUUUUCUGCAGGACAUUGUUUUUGGUGCAAUUGAUGUAUAUGCAGCCCAAGUCCUCUUCACUCAGUGCAACCCAGGCAAGCCAGCAAGUUGGGCAGCCAUGGGUUACUGCAAGCACAUUUCUGCCAAAGGAGCACAAGAUGGCACCUACCAAUCAUACAUCAAACCUGUUCUCACUCCUCACAGAGCCCACGGAGAUGAGAUUUCUGCCCAACACUUGGUAUUCAGAGCCUGCACCUUCUCAGUGAAGUUAGGACAUGCUUUUGCACGCAGAUUGAUUAAUAACUCUUGCUUAUACAUAGAGACAAAACAAAGCAAAAUUUAUCAUAUAGAAACACACUAAGAAAGCAUUAUAAUAGCACUAACUUAUCAAAAUCUCCAUCACUGUCUGUAUCAAUAUGAGCUGGCUAUGACUGAGAUAUGGAAAGUGUCCAUAAUGCUGCUGGGAGCAAAGAAAUUCUGAAAACAAAGACUGUUUUAUGGCGCUAAAGCACAACCACUUGGUGGUGGGAAUUUCAUAGCUAACUCCAUACAUUGGCACACGCUGUUCAGGUGAGCUCUGUCUAACGAUUCCAGCCACUACUUUUACUCUGAAAGCAUAGGAAAAUGGACAAUUCCCAAAGUACAAUAAAUUCUUUGUCAC